RNAcentral lists this ribosomal RNA (253 nucleotides) under uncultured bacterium. Its description in RNAcentral is "partial 16S ribosomal RNA". It matches the Rfam family "Bacterial small subunit ribosomal RNA", at positions 524 to 776 of the family's 1533-position model. The record is from RNAcentral.
UACGAAUGGGGCAAGCGUUGUUCGGAAUCACUGGGCUUAAAGCGUGCGUAGGCGGCUAUGCAAGUCAGGAGUGAAAUCCCAGGGCUUAACCCUGGAAUUGCUUUUGAAACUCCAUAGCUAGAAUCCGGGAGAGGUUAGCAGAAUUCCGAGUGUAGAGGUGAAAUUCGCAGAUAUUCGGAGGAAUACCAGUGGCGUAGGCGGCUAACUGGACCGGCAUUGACGCUGAGGUACGAAAGCGUGGGUAGCAAACAGG